AACGAACGCUGGCGGCAGGCUUAACACAUGCAAGUCGAGCGACCCGCAAGGGGAGCGGCAGACGGGUGAGUAACGCGUGGGAACAUACCCUUUCCUGCGGAAUAGCUCCGGGAAACUGGAAUUAAUACCGCAUACGCCCUACGGGGGAAAGAUUUAUCGGGGAAGGAUUGGCCCGCGUUGGAUUAGCUAGUUGGUGGGGUAAAGGCCUACCAAGGCGACGAUCCAUAGCUGGUCUGAGAGGAUGAUCAGCCACAUUGGGACUGAGACACGGCCCAAACUCUUACGGGAGGCAGCAGUGGGGAAUAUUGGACAAUGGGCGCAAGCCUGAUCCAGCCAUGCCGCGUGAGUGAUGAAGGCCUUAGGGUUGUAAAGCUCUUUCACCGGAGAAGAUAAUGACGGUAUCCGGAGAAGAAGCCCCGGCUAACUUCGUGCCAGCCGCCGCGGUAA
This 447-nucleotide ribosomal RNA is filed under the name uncultured bacterium. RNAcentral's name for it is "partial 16S ribosomal RNA". It matches the Rfam family "Bacterial small subunit ribosomal RNA", at positions 29 to 523 of the family's 1533-position model. The record is from RNAcentral.